RNAcentral lists this ribosomal RNA (587 nucleotides) under Salmonella enterica. Its description in RNAcentral is "bacterial SSU rRNA". It matches the Rfam family "Bacterial small subunit ribosomal RNA", at positions 108 to 691 of the family's 1533-position model. The record is from RNAcentral. Lineage: Bacteria; Pseudomonadati; Pseudomonadota; Gammaproteobacteria; Enterobacterales; Enterobacteriaceae.
GAGUAAUGUCUGGGAAACUGCCUGAUGGAGGGGGAUAACUACUGGAAACGGUGGCUAAUACCGCAUAACGUCGCAAGACCAAAGAGGGGGACCUUCGGGCCUCUUGCCAUCAGAUGUGCCCAGAUGGGAUUAGCUUGUUGGUGAGGUAACGGCUCACCAAGGCGACGAUCCCUAGCUGGUCUGAGAGGAUGACCAGCCACACUGGAACUGAGACACGGUCCAGACUCCUACGGGAGGCAGCAGUGGGGAAUAUUGCACAAUGGGCGCAAGCCUGAUGCAGCCAUGCCGCGUGUAUGAAGAAGGCCUUCGGGUUGUAAAGUACUUUCAGCGGGGAGGAAGGUGUUGUGGUUAAUAACCGCAGCAAUUGACGUUACCCGCAGAAGAAGCACCGGCUAACUCCGUGCCAGCAGCCGCGGUAAUACGGAGGGUGCAAGCGUUAAUCGGAAUUACUGGGCGUAAAGCGCACGCAGGCGGUCUGUCAAGUCGGAUGUGAAAUCCCCGGGCUCAACCUGGGAACUGCAUUCGAAACUGGCAGGCUUGAGUCUUGUAGAGGGGGGUAGAAUUCCAGGUGUAGCGGUGAAAUGCGU